This is a small nucleolar RNA of Jaculus jaculus (lesser Egyptian jerboa), 178 nucleotides long. The record is from Ensembl. NCBI's taxonomy places the organism in Eukaryota, Metazoa, Chordata, Mammalia, Rodentia, Dipodidae.
UCCUUCUUGUAUAAGCACUGUGCUAAAAUUACAAAAAUUAGGAGCCUAUCUUGGUUUUUGUAAUAGUGCUAGCAGAGUACACACAGGAAGAAGAGUAACUGCACCAGAUCCCAAAGACUGGGGUGGGCCUCUUUCUUAAUGUCCAGUGUCCUGUGUCUUAAGAUUUGGUGCAAUAUUG